This 1306-nucleotide long non-coding RNA is filed under the name Urocitellus parryii (Arctic ground squirrel). RNAcentral describes it as "lncRNA (ENSUPAG00010020036.1)". The record is from RNAcentral. Lineage: Eukaryota; Metazoa; Chordata; Mammalia; Rodentia; Sciuridae.
GCCAGGCCUUGUGGCCCUUCGUAUCCCACCUCACAUUGCAAUAGAACCAUCAUUUUUAUGGUGCUUCAUAGUUGAUGAAGGGCCCRUCACUUUCCCUCAGGAUUGCUCCAUUGCUAUUUUAGUGACAUUAGCUUACCCUUCCUGUGAGAUUUUGUAACUUUCUUACCUGGUAGAAACUGCAAAUCCUUUUCUUUCAUUUUCCUCUCCUUUUUAAGUCAAGGGCUCCUAUUGGAGGGUGGCUAGCUGGGCAGUAAGUGGAAUGUGGUGGGUCAGAGGGGCAGUCCAGUUGAAAACUCCUGAAGCCUGGAAGCCUCCAUCCUCCCCAUSUCUGUCACCCAGGCAAGAGAGAGCAGCCAAGCUGGGCCGAGGGUUAUUUUUAAUCUCAAAAUGUAGUAUAUGAGAACAACAGCCCUCAUCCUGGGAGGACCUGCCAAGAGACUGCAGACCCUGAGGAGGUGUCAGAAGGCAGCUGCUUCACAUUGCCCUCGGAAGCCAGAGCUGGGAUGAAGUUAUGAGACCUACCACAGGCUUGAGGUGAGAAUUCAGCAAGACAGUACAGGUGGAGCCCUUGAAAGAGACACACGGAUCAUGGUUAGUGCUCCAGAAACAUCAGCGCCUACUGCUUCUAUGAUUUUUCUACUCAGGAAGAACUUCCUGUGUUUCAGGCACUGGCUUUACUUCCUGUAUCAUUUGGUGCAGGCCUGCCAGCUGGUUGCUCACCACCUUUCUGAUCCUGGCAGCCCCUUCAGACUGUUGGCAACAGCGUCGUAKAUGACACAUCAUUUUUUUCUAGUUUCUAUUAUCUGUUGAAGAUCACAAUAUGCGGCAUCUAACCUGUGACAGCAAUCUGGGGUCAUCAUCCGGGACUCUUGCAGGAUCUCUGCCUACAUUUUAAGGUCAUCAUUUUUGCCACAUUCAGCUUUCUUUUUUUUUUUUUAAUCUUCUCUUCCAGUUGUUUUGCUUAUUUUUCAUACAUCACUCUUUCUUUGACCAAUUUUUUUUACCAUGGGGGAUCUUGAUCUUGGUCUGCUUCACAUGAGGAUGUGCUUGGUCCCAAGAGCCACUGGAAGGAGGGGCUGAGAACAAGAAUUUUAAACAGAAAUUCUUCAUAAAAAUCACAACUAUGAAAGAACUACAAAACAAAACUUGUGGGAUACAGAUUCCUGGAAAAACAAGGUUGAAAGUAAAUGAAUUAAAAUUUUAAUCCUAAAGAYUAAGAAAAAAGAUUUAGCUAAUGUAUUUAAGGUCCUUUGCAGAAUGCUUGUCAUACAAUAAAAGGAAAUGCAGAUGUUCUUGGACUUAAAAU